This 404-nucleotide ribosomal RNA is filed under the name Verrucomicrobiota bacterium. Its description in RNAcentral is "Verrucomicrobia bacterium partial 16S ribosomal RNA". It matches the Rfam family "Bacterial small subunit ribosomal RNA", at positions 355 to 776 of the family's 1533-position model. The record is from RNAcentral. Lineage: Bacteria; Pseudomonadati; Verrucomicrobiota.
UGGGGAAUAUUGGACAAUGGGGGGAACCCUGAUCCAGCGACGCCGCGUGAGUGAAGAAGUAUUUCGGUAUGUAAAGCUCUAUCAGCAGGGAAGAAAAUGACGGUACCUGACUAAGAAGCCCCGGCUAACUACGUGCCAGCAGCCGCGGUAAUACGUAGGGGGCAAGCGUUAUCCGGAUUUACUGGGUGUAAAGGGAGUGCAGACGGUUUUGCAAGUCUGAAGUGAAAGCCCGAGGCUUAACCUCGGAGUUGCUUUGGAAACUGUAUAACUAGAGUAUCGGAGAGGUAAGUGGAAUUCCUAGUGUAGCGGUGAAAUGCGUAGAUAUUAGGAGGAACACCGGUGGCGAAGGCGGCUUACUGGACGAAAACUGACGUUGAGGCUCGAAGGCGUGGGGAGCAAACAGG